GACCACUUUACUGGGGAGCCUAUUCCAGUGCCCAACCACCCUCUGAGGUGUUUUAUUCUGUCCACAAAAGAAAGGAUAGAUCUGCUUCAUUCAGUGUGAGUACUGAAAAGUAGCAGUGCCUGCUGUGAACUCUGCCUACUUCUCUCUGACAUGACUGAGAGAAUUUUGGAUGGAAGACACUCAAACCCUGUGUGAGGAAAAAACUCCAGCCUGAAACCUGUGAUAGAUCAGCUUUGAAGGAGAGGCAGCUCUCUCGUACUGCUACAUAGAAAAAGCUAUUCACUUUGUUUUCCUUUAUAUAUUUUGUUAGAAGUCUGGAGCUUAAAUUUUAAAUCAAGUCUUUGGGAACACACUGUGAAGCAGACCAUCAGUAUGAAUAAAAUAUGUUAGUAGGGACAUGUUGAAUUUAGUGUGACUGUUUGGCAACCUCUGUAUUGCAGUGAGGAAGUACUUAGUUGUGGCAAUGCAGA
Molecule: long non-coding RNA, 470 nt
Organism: Corapipo altera (White-ruffed manakin)
Lineage: Eukaryota; Metazoa; Chordata; Aves; Passeriformes; Pipridae
Exons: 3
Source: RefSeq, a predicted model, not a curated record